GACGAACGCUGGCGGCGUGCUUAACACAUGCAAGUCGAACGGAAAGGCCCUGCUUUUGUGGGGUGCUCGAGUGGCGAACGGGUGAGUAACACGUGAGUAACCUGCCCUUGACUUUGGGAUAACUUCAGGAAACUGGGGCUAAUACCGGAUAGGAGCUCCUGCUGCAUGGUGGGGGUUGGAAAGUUUCGGCGGUUGGGGAUGGACUCGCGGCUUAUCAGCCUGUUGGUGGGGUAGUGGCUUACCAAGGCUUUGACGGGUAGCCGGCCUGAGAGGGUGACCGGCCACAUUGGGACUGAGAUACGGCCCAGACUCCUACGGGAGGCAGCAGUGGGAAUAUUGCACAAUGGGCGGAAGCCUGAUGCAGCAACGCCGCGUGCGGGAUGACGGCCUUCGGGUUGUAAACCGCUUUCGCCUGUGACGAAGCGUGAGUGACGGUAAUGGGUAAAGAAGCACCGGCUAACUACGUG
Molecule: ribosomal RNA, 467 nt
Filed under: uncultured bacterium
Lineage: Bacteria
Description: partial 16S ribosomal RNA
Rfam family: Bacterial small subunit ribosomal RNA
Source: RNAcentral